CACGUAGGGUGCGAGCGUUGUCCGGAAUUAUUGGGCGUAAAGAGCUCGUAGGCGGUGUGUCGCGUCGGCCGUGAAAACCUGCAGCUUAACUGUGGGCUUGCGGUCGAUACGGGCAUCACUGGAGUUCGGCAGGGGAGACUGGAAUUCCUGGUGUAGCGGUGAAAUGCGCAGAUAUCAGGAGGAACACCGGUGGCGAAGGCAGCUCACUGGGACGGUAUUGACGCUGAGACGCGAAAGCGUGGGGAGCAAACAGG
This 254-nucleotide ribosomal RNA is filed under the name uncultured bacterium. RNAcentral describes it as "partial 16S ribosomal RNA". It matches the Rfam family "Bacterial small subunit ribosomal RNA", at positions 524 to 776 of the family's 1533-position model. The record is from RNAcentral.